Molecule: non-coding RNA, 1319 nt
Organism: Pelobates cultripes (western spadefoot toad)
Lineage: Eukaryota; Metazoa; Chordata; Amphibia; Anura; Pelobatidae
Source: the annotation of a GenBank genome assembly
ACCUAUUCGUCAACUGACUCUUCAGGAAGAUUGUGCGAUUCUUUUGGAGGAGCAAAAAAAAAAAACCCAAAAAACUGUGUGCAAGAGAGUACUGAGAACGGACAACCGCUAAAUUAGCCUGCCCUUCAGUGGGUCCCCACUCAGAUCUCAAGCUGGUUCUAGCUCAUCUUGUGAAAUUACAAAAAGAAUCAGGGCCGUUUGCCUAUCAGACUGAUUCCACCCAAAAGGGCGCCACAUAUCUGAAACGCAGGCUGGCUCUCUGCACAAGAGAUACAACCACCCCAGACAAUCGUUUCAGCCUUGUUAGGCAUCAUCGGUGAAGAUCUGAACCGCCCUUUUGGGUGGGAUCAGUCUGAUAUGCAAAUUGCCCUGGCUCUUUUUGUAAUGGCACAAGAUAAGCUACAACCAGCUUGAGAUCUGAGCAGGGACCCACCAAAGGCCCGGCUAAUCGAGCUGUUGUCCGUUCUCCUAUACUCUCUUGAACCUUGUGGUUUUUUUUGUUUUUCCUGGAGGAGUAUUUACCAGCCUCCUUGUAUACUCGUUUGUAUAUGAAGCCCAUUAGCAGAAGCCAUAGAGGACCUCUACAUGGAUUCAGUGCUCUGUUUUGUACAUACAUGAGGUUACCCUCACAACCUCUUAUUUUAACAUUGGAGAAUGGCUUGGGAAAUGUCUUUAUCCUGAAGAUUACUCUGCCAUUGUUGAAAACUCACUGAAGAUCGUUGUUUGCACUCCCUAUGGGAAAAAAGUUACAAGUCCCUUUCCUGCCAGUACACAUUUCCCACUUGUCUCAAUCACCUUAAUGGAAUGGCACCCUGGUCACUAUAAAAGUGGUUCUGUAAAACAAACACCCCACACAUUCUUCUCAAUGGAAAAGACGGCGGCUUCAGUCCAUCCAUCUCCUAUAAAAUCUGGUUCGAGGCUAAUUUAAAAAAAGGAGUACUUUACAUUUCCUGCCACUUGCCUUGUGUGGUGGUGAAAAAAAAGUUUGUUUUUUGUUUUCCUCCUCCAGAUCACUUUCCUUCUAUCUUCUCUUCAAUUUCCUAAUUGUUUUUUGGGGCAUUUUAUAUAGCGCCAACGUAUUCUGCAAAGAGUUCCUUUCUCUCCUAUCCUUCCUCCUCUCUCCUUUCCGCCCUUACCUCUUCUCCUUGUUCUGUGAAGUCCCUGAUCAAACCAGUCAGGGGUUUUCAGAAUGUUUAUGUAUAGAACUUUGUUAUACAUUCUUGUAUUCCUCCAUCAUAUUAUGCAACGUUCCUUGGCUCUUAUGUCAAGUCAUAUCUAUUUUUGUUGUGAUGAAUACUAAUAAAACACUUUAAUUUGAA